AUGCAAGGUUGAAUAGGCCAGCAGAGUCAAAUCAGAAAGGGUCCUGUAUGCCGCUGAAGAGAUUCAAGCAAGGAAUGAUCAGAUGGGUGUUUUAGAAAAAUCCUUCUGUUGACAGCUGGGAGGCAGGCAUACUAUGAAGAAGGAAAACAGAUACUGGUAUUUCCAUUUCACAGUGCAUGUUCCCUCCAGUUUCUCCAGGCCCUUGACACUGAAUGUUUACAGGAAACAACGUGCAUCUCUGUGGGUCAAGGUCAACGACUCAAAGCAUCAAGUCAGAUAAAGGCCUUCUGGAUCACAGACCCUGUAAAGAGGGAGCAAUAA
Molecule: long non-coding RNA, 321 nt
Organism: Rhinopithecus roxellana (golden snub-nosed monkey)
Lineage: Eukaryota; Metazoa; Chordata; Mammalia; Primates; Cercopithecidae
Exons: 3
Source: RefSeq, a predicted model, not a curated record